AUACGAAGGUCCCAAGCGUUGUUCGGAUUUACUGGGCGUAAAGCGUCUGUAGGCGGCGUGGUAAGUCAGAUGUGAAAUCCCGGGGCUCAACCCCGGAACUGCAUCCGAUACUGCCAUGCUAGAGUAUUGGAGGGGAGUCUGGAAUUCUCGGUGUAGCAGUGAAAUGCGUAGAUAUCGAGAGGAACACUAGUGGCGAAGGCGAGACUCUGGACAAUUACUGACGCUGAGAGACGAAGGCCAGGGUAGCGAAAAGGAUUAGAAACCCGAGUAGUCC
RNAcentral lists this ribosomal RNA (274 nucleotides) under uncultured bacterium. Its description in RNAcentral is "partial 16S ribosomal RNA". It matches the Rfam family "Bacterial small subunit ribosomal RNA", at positions 523 to 796 of the family's 1533-position model. The record is from RNAcentral.